GAUGAAGAACGCAGCGAAAUGCGAUAAGUAAUGUGAAUUGCAGAAUUCAGUGAAUCAUCGAAUCUUUGAACGCACAUUGCGCCCUUUGGCAUUCCGAAGGGCACACCUGUCCGAGCGCCGUCGCACAACUGAGGCGCAGCCUUGCGUUGGCGGGCGACUUGUGAGUAGCGAGUCGCCGCCCAAACGAGACGGCGCCGCGCCGCGGCCGACGAAGCACGAAAGCGGAAGUCGACGCGGAGGCGGUUGCCUGUAGGAAGACACAGCUUGGCCUCGGAUCAGGUGGGGAUACCCGCUGAACUUAAGCAUAUCAUAAGCGGAGGA
Molecule: unclassified non-coding RNA, 321 nt
Filed under: soil metagenome
Description: partial contains 5.8S ribosomal RNA, internal transcribed spacer 2, and large subunit ribosomal RNA
Rfam family: 5.8S ribosomal RNA (bases 1-120)
Source: RNAcentral